AACGAACGCUGGCGGCAUGCCUAACACAUGCAAGUCGAACGAGCCCUUCGGGUCUUGUUGCGCACGGGUCCGUAACGCGUGGGUACCUGCCCUUUGGUUCGGCUUCACUUCCCGCUAGGGUUGCUCCUGCAGGCUAAUGUCUUCGGCCCAAAGAUUUAUCGCUUUUGGAUGGGCCCGCUUUGGAUUAGCUAGUUGGUAGGGUAAAAGCCUACCAAGGCGACGAUCUAUAUCUGUUCUGAGAGGAAGAGCAGCCACACUGGGAGUGCGUAACGGCCCAGAAUCCUACGGGAGGCAGCAGUGGGGAAUAGUGGACAAUGGGCGAAAGCCUGAACCAGCAAUGACGCGUGAGUGAUGAAGGCCGUAGGGUUGUAAAACUCGUGUACCCGGGAUGAUAAUGACAGUACCGGGAGAAUAAGCUCCGGCUAACUCCGUG
Molecule: ribosomal RNA, 433 nt
Filed under: uncultured bacterium
Lineage: Bacteria
Description: partial 16S ribosomal RNA
Rfam family: Bacterial small subunit ribosomal RNA
Source: RNAcentral